This 433-nucleotide ribosomal RNA is filed under the name uncultured bacterium. RNAcentral's name for it is "partial 16S ribosomal RNA". It matches the Rfam family "Bacterial small subunit ribosomal RNA", at positions 29 to 507 of the family's 1533-position model. The record is from RNAcentral.
AACGAACGCUGGCGGCAUGCCUAACACAUGCAAGUCGAACGAGACCUUCGGGUCUAGUGGCGCACGGGUGCGUAACGCGUGGGAACCUGCCCUUAGGUUCGGAAUAACUCCCCGAAAGGGGUGCUAAUACCGGAUAAUGUCUUCGGACCAAAGAUUUAUCGCCUUUGGAUGGGCCCGCGUUGGAUUAGCUAGUUGGUAGGGUAAAAGCCUACCAAGGCGACGAUCCAUAGCUGGUCUGAGAGGAUGAUCAGCCACACUGGGACUGAGACACGGCCCAGACUCCUACGGGAGACAGCAGCGGGGAAUAUUGGACAAUGGGCGAAAGCCUGAUCCAGCAAUGCCGCGUGAGUGAUGAAGGCCUUAGGGUUGUAAAGCUCUUUUACCCGGGAUGAUAAUGACAGUACCGGGAGAAUAAGCUCCGGCUAACUCCGUG